Small nucleolar RNA from Perognathus longimembris pacificus (Pacific pocket mouse), 105 nucleotides. RefSeq annotates it as small nucleolar RNA U13. Lineage: Eukaryota; Metazoa; Chordata; Mammalia; Rodentia; Heteromyidae. The record is from RefSeq and is a predicted model, not a curated record. The transcript has a single exon.
GUCCUUUUCUGGUUCAUAAGCAUGAUGAUUGGGUUCUCACACAAUUGCAUGACAACUGCCUCCUUAUAAACCUUGUUAUUAUGUGGGCACAUUACUUGUCUGAUG